GCCGCGGUAAUACGGAGGAUCCAAGCGUUAUCCGGAAUCAUUGGGCGUAAAGCGCGCGCAGGCGGUUCUUUAAGUCUUGUGUUUAAUCCCGGGGCUCAACCUCGGUACGCAUGGGAAACUGGAGGACUGGAGUGCAGGAGAGGAAAGUGGAAUUCCACGUGUAGCGGUGAAAUGCGUAGAGAUGUGGAGGAACACCAGUGGCGAAGGCGACUUUCUGGCCUGUAACUGACGCUGAGGCGCGAAAGCGUGGGGAGCAAACAGG
This 262-nucleotide ribosomal RNA is filed under the name uncultured bacterium. Its description in RNAcentral is "partial 16S ribosomal RNA". It matches the Rfam family "Bacterial small subunit ribosomal RNA", at positions 514 to 776 of the family's 1533-position model. The record is from RNAcentral.